UACAAUAAAACAAGGCUCCCGAAGUGCCAGAGUACCAAGAAAAAAUAUUUCCUCUCUUUUCUUUCUACAAUCCCCGCCCAAUUCAGUCUCCAAACCCUAAUUUCAAUUCGUUCGUCUCAGUUCGAUUCUUUGGUAAAACUCAAUUUUAUGAGCUCAAAAUCUUUUCAAGAUGGACGAUUCAUGGAGGUAUCAACCAAUUCAAGGUAAUAAUAUCUGUCCUAGUUGUUCAACUCCUCAUUAUCCAUUCUGCUCUCAUAAUCAACCACCACUCCCUUUAGAUCGUAAUGGUUAUGGACCUCCAAUUCAUCACCACCACCACCACCACCACCAUCAAAGACCUUAUUUUGAUCCUUACCGUGAUAGUAAUAGUCGUGUUAGGCCACCGCCCCCAAGUUAUGGCAAUCUAAAUGAUGUUUCUUGGAAUAGUAGUAAUCAUGUAAGAAAGUACCCAGAACCGGUAAUAGGGGUGAAUGGGUUUACGUCGAGUUAUGAUUACGGUAAUAGUGGAGAAUUUUUUGAGAGUGAGAGAAUGAAUAAGAGGAUUAAGGUUGAUAACAAUAUGAAUCCGGGUUAGAUUGGACCAGCGCCAGCGCCACCGCCACCGCCACCGCCACCGGUUGUUGGUGAUUAUAAUUUGAAUGCUAAUGGAGCUUAUAAGGAUGAUGAGCGUAGGUUGGGUUUAGUUAGGCAACAUGGGGGAAAUAGUAGCGUUCAUCCUGGGGGAUUAGGUGGAGGUGAAGCAAGGGGAAGUGAUUGGAUUCCGAGGCCACCAAGUAACAAUGGAGCAACUAAUUUUCAUGAUACGGGGUUUGGUUCUGUUGAUCAGCAACGUAUGGGUAGUGAAACAAAUGGGUUUCAUCCUGGGUUUACAUCUGUUGAUCAUUGGAGUGACAACCAUUUGAAGCCACCUUCCGCUCAGAGCUAUGAAGCUAGUGUUUUCCAAACAGGUGCUCCUAACUAUAAUCCUUCCACGCAGCAAGGUCAGGAUUUUGCAGUUGUACAUGAAGAAAAAGGAUUUCAGCAUAUGAAUCAGAGGGAGGUGUAUUAUCAGAACAAACAGCAUGGAGACAUAAUUCAGCAGCCAAAUGUUUCCUACGGUGCAUCUUAUCCAGGCACUCAAGCUUCUCAAGGGGAAUUUCGUGCCAACAGUUACCAACCCCUCCAGUCAAAAGAUACUGAACCGACAAAAGGCCUUCGAUCUAAUUUAACGAGUUGGCAGAUGUCUCCGGCAUCAUAUUUGCCGAAUCAAGAUCUCCAUUACCAUGGACAUACACGUGAUUUACGACAUUCGGUUGAAGUUAAACCUUCGCAGUUGGAGGGAAUUCAGAAACCUCAUAAUUUCCCUCUUGCAGAUAAAUUUGGUGCCUCAAAUAGCUGGGAGCAUGCACCUCAGACAUUUGGUGUUCAGCCUCCUCUACCUCCUGGACCACCCCCACCUCUACCAGUGGACCCACCAGGUCCACCUCUAUUACACAUGCAAGCUACAACUUCAGCAAACAUGACGCCCUCCCUGUAUCCAAUUCCAGUAGGUUCUUUUGAUGCUCCACAUUCAUUGCUGUCACCAGCUUAUAAAACCCAGUCUUUUCCAUUGAAGCAUCCAUCACCAGACAAACCAAAGCACAUUGAUGCCUCUCUCUUACUUCGACAGCCUCAUCGAGCUACUCGUCCUGAUCAUAUUGUUAUUAUUCUUCGGGGGCUUCCAGGUAGUGGAAAAAGCUAUUUGGCAAAGAUGUUACGUGAUCUAGAAGUUGAAAAUGGUGGUCGCGCUCCACGAAUACAUUCUAUGGAUGAUUAUUUCAUGAAUGAAGUUGAAAAGGUUGACGAACGCGACGAAUCUAAAACUGCUAAAGGCAGAAGAAAAACAGAUACAAGGAAGGUGAUGGAAUAUUGUUAUGAACCUGAAAUGGAAGAGGCUUACCGGGCAAGCAUGUUGAAAGCAUUUAGGAAGACCCUGGAGGACGGUAGCUUCACCUUUAUUAUUGUGGAUGACCGCAAUCUGCGGGUAGCCGAUUUUGCUCAAUUUUUGGCAACUGCUAAGAGGACGGGUUAUGAAGUUUACCUGCUGGAAGCUGCGUAUAAGGAUCCCAUGGGCUGCGCUGCUCGGAACGUGCAUGGUUUCACUUCAGAUCACAUUCAGAAAAUGGCAACAUUGUGGGAGGAAGCUCCACCUUUAUACUUGCAACUAGAUACCAAGUCACUUAUCCGCGGAGAUGGUCCAAACGAGAGUGAGAUCCAAGAGGUGGACAUGGAUAUGGAAGAAGAUGUGGCAUGUGAUGAAGGCUCAGCUAAGUUGCAGGAUCCAGGUUCUUUGAGGACAAUGGAACCAUUGAUAAAAGAUGAUGCAACUGAUGGUUCGCUCAAUGAUGGAGAUAGAUGGCACGAUGAAGGCAAUGAUGAUUCAACAGGUGUAAAAGAACUAGGUAGGAGUAAAUGGUCUCUUGAUGAGGAUGAAUAUACUGAAAGACCUAGGGGACCUAAAGGGAAGUUGAAUGCUCCCUCUGGGUUACUUAAACCAUAUAGCAUGAAAAAGAAAUCUGUGCAUUGGGGUGACCAGGUAAUAAAUAAAUGCAUGGCAACAUUUUUAUGUAUAUUAAAGGUCUUUAUGUGUAAAAUGCUGGAUCAUAUUCUGGUUACAAAGGUUACUGAACUUCUAGAUUGCAACAUCUCUAGGCUUGCGUAACAUGUCUUGGCAUGACACAUCUCUGUUAGCAUAUCAAGUGCUUAUCUUUGUUUUACAAUUGCAAUGUCGAUUUGAGUUUGUUUGUUGUCUUCGUUUAUCUCAUUCUUUUUUUGGCUUUUCGGAACAGGGAAGCAUAACUGGUUUUUCCAUUGGGGCAGCAAAAAAAUCAAGCAUGAAAUCCUUAGUAAUUGGGCCUGGUGCUGGUUACAACUUGAAGGUCAAAUCCAGUAAGUGAAGAAGUGAAGAGUGGAAAUGAGUCUAGUUGGGGAACUAAAAGCAGUGUGUUCCAAGAGCAUAUACGUGCAGAGCGUGAAUCCUUCAGAGCUGUAUUUGAUAGAAGACGUCACAUAAUUCAGGGGAUUGAUGCUGAAGUUGAAUGACAACCAAAUUGAUUACGCCUGUGCUCAACCUAUGGCCCGUAGGCUUGAUAUUAUGCUUAGAUUGAUUUGUUUAUUUGUAUUGUACUAUUGUACACUUGGGUUUUUACACGCUAAGUUAUUCUGCAAAAUCCUUUUAGUUUUGUACAAAAAGAAAAUACAUUUGUUUGUAUACGAAGUUGGUAUUUAAUUGAUGAAAUCCUCUGAUGAUUAA
RNA transcript from Papaver somniferum (opium poppy), 3271 nucleotides. RefSeq lists it as uncharacterized. The record is from RefSeq and is a predicted model, not a curated record. Lineage: Eukaryota; Viridiplantae; Streptophyta; Magnoliopsida; Ranunculales; Papaveraceae. The transcript is spliced from 11 exons.